RNAcentral lists this unclassified non-coding RNA (2069 nucleotides) under Hevea brasiliensis (rubber tree). The record is from RNAcentral. Lineage: Eukaryota; Viridiplantae; Streptophyta; Magnoliopsida; Malpighiales; Euphorbiaceae.
AAACUUUUCAAACUAGCUAACUAAGAGCGCCGAGUUCAGCUCAGAAUUCAUGGCUUCUACUCCAACAUCCUCGAUAUCCCUGCAAAGCAAUACCCCAAGAUCGUGCUUCCCAUCUUCAUCAUCACCAGCAACAAAAUCAUUUCAGGCUAAUCUUAAAUUUUCAUUUUCACUGCACUCAACUAAAGUUGCACGCAUAAGAUCUUCUAGUACUACAAACUACAAUGAAGUUGUUAUUGAUGAAGAAAUGGAUAGGAUCAGGAGGCUUCAAAAUGGUUCCGACGUUCGUGGGGUAGCACUGGAAGGCGAGAGGGGUAGGACGGUGGAUCUUACUCCUCCGGCGGUGGAAGCCAUCGCUGAGAGUUUUGGUGAGUGGGUUAUCCGGGGCUUGGAAAAGGAACGAGGACGAGUGGUUGAGGAUGUGAGGGUCUCGCUUGGUAGGGACCCACGAGUAUCAGGAGCUUCUUUGAGUGUAGCUGUGUUUGCAGGCCUUGCUCGUGCUGGUUGUAUGGUGUUUGAUAUGGGACUCGCCACCACUCCAGCUUGUUUCAUGAGUACAUUGCUACCUCCAUUUGCCUUUGAUGCAUCCAUAAUGAUGACAGCGUCGCAUUUGCCAUAUACUCGUAAUGGCUUAAAAUUUUUCACUAAGAGAGGAGGGCUAACCUCGCCGGAGGUUGAGGAGAUAUGUGACAAAGCAGCCCGGAAGUUUGCAAAUAGGCUUGCAAAAGUGUCGACAAUGCUCAACACUCCACCGAAGAAAGUUGAUUUCAUGAGCACUUACGCCAAGCAUCUCCGGGACAUCAUCAAGGAGAAAGUGAACCAUCCCUUGCACUAUGACACCCCUCUUGAAGGAUUUCAGAUAAUUGUAAAUGCUGGAAAUGGAUCAGGAGGAUUCUUCACAUGGGAUGUGCUAGACAAGCUUGGAGCAGAUACCUUUGGUUCACUUCACUUAAACCCAGAUGGAAUGUUCCCCAACCACAUUCCUAACCCUGGGGACAAAACAGCCAUGGCACUAACUAGAACUGCUAUGCUAGAAAAUUCAGCUGACCUUGGAAUUGUUUUCGACACAGAUGUAGACCGCAGUGGAGUUGUUGAUAAUAAAGGCAACCCAAUCAACGGUGACAAGCUCAUUGCUCUUAUGUCUGCUAUAGUUUUGAAGGAACAUCCUGGAACUACAAUAGUUACCGAUGCCCGAACAAGCAUGGCACUUUCAAGAUUCAUUACCGAUAGAGGAGGACAGCAUUGCUUAUAUCGUGUUGGUUAUAGAAAUGUGAUUGAUAAAGGUGUCCAGCUUAAUAGGGAUGGCAUUGAAACGCAUCUCAUGAUGGAAACAUCAGGACAUGGCGCUCUUAAAGAAAAUCAUUUCCUUGAUGAUGGGGCUUACAUGGUGGUAAAAAUUAUAAUUGAAAUGGUGCGUAUGAAACUAGCCGGAUCAGAUGCAGGUAUUGGCAGUCUCAUAAGAGAUCUUGAAGAGCCUUUAGAAUCGGUAGAGCUAAGGAUGAAUAUAAUCUCUGAGCCUAGAGACGCCAAAGCAAGAGCCAUUGAGGCAAUUGAAAAAUUUCGAAGCUACAUUGAGGAAGGAAAACUCGAAGGUUGGGAAUUAGACUCCUGUGGAGACUGUUGGGUAAGCGAUGGCUGCCUCGUGGACACAAACGACACUCCAGCUGCUGUGGAUGCUUACAUGUACAGGGCUAAGGUAUCUGAUAAAAAAAAUAGAGAAUACGGUUGGGUACACCUGAGGCAGAGCAUUCACAAUCCAAAUAUCGCUGUAAAUAUGCAGUCAAUGGUCCCUGGAGGAUGCCAUUCCAUGACAAAAGUUCUUAGAGACAGAUUUCUCGAGGCAAGUGGAGUAGACAAAAUCUUAGACAUCUCUCAGAUCGACAAGUAUGCUAGGACUGGACUAGUGAAAUGAGAUGAAGCUUUCAUGAAUAAUUGGAACGGCUUUAAUUACAAUUUAUAGAGAGAAUUUAUACUGCGUACAGUUUCCUAUUGAAAAUCCAUCAACUCUGUAAUAUACAAACUAAUUAUAGCAUACCCUUCAUCUGUAGUUUAUUAUUUUAUAUCAAAUCAAA